Hyla sarda is the source of this 328-nucleotide long non-coding RNA. RefSeq lists it as uncharacterized. The record is from RefSeq and is a predicted model, not a curated record. Lineage: Eukaryota; Metazoa; Chordata; Amphibia; Anura; Hylidae. The transcript has 3 exons.
UUCUAGCUUUCAACUGUGUGAGGAGAACACCUGUGAGAUCUAGACGAGAUACAGACAGCUUGCCACCUCUUCACAUGAGAAGCAUUUCCAUGCACAAUGACAAGCAAUACAAGGUUGUGGCUCAUCAUCAAGAAUUGCUGAUAUAUUCAUAGAAGCAGUUACUUAUCCAAGUUCACUAUAGGAAUAGAAACAAGGAUUGAUUUAUAAUAAGCAGCGAUGGCAAAACCUGGAACCCAGUGUGUGGACCCAUAAGAUAAGAUUGUCAACUAUCCAUAAAUUUCUGGACCAUCUGUUAAAAUAAUGGAUUUUUUCCUAAUUUAAAAUAAAC